This 337-nucleotide unclassified non-coding RNA is filed under the name uncultured fungus. RNAcentral's name for it is "partial contains 18S rRNA, ITS1, 5.8S rRNA, ITS2 and 28S rRNA". The stretch from base 187 to 317 matches the Rfam family "5.8S ribosomal RNA". Lineage: Eukaryota; Fungi. The record is from RNAcentral.
AAGGAUCAUUAAUGAUUGCGAAUGGUCACCUUCGGUGCUGGCUCGCAAGAGCAAGUGCACGUUGGUGGCUUUCAUCCAAUUCCACACCCUGUGAACCUUUGGCCUCUUGCUAGCCUCGGCUGGCAGAGGAUUUUACAUAUACUCGAAUGUAAUGAAAACUAUUGUUGUGCGCAAGCACUAAUAUACAACUUUCAACAACGGAUCUCUUGGCUCUCGCAUCGAUGAAGAACGCAGCCGAAACGCGACGACAAAGACGACGCCGAAAUGGACCGGGUCACCGCCGAGGCUGCGCACGAGCGGCAGGAAGAUCGGCGUCAGCAUGAUGAUGAGCAUGGUU